CUAGCUGUAAACGAUGGAUACUAGGCGUUGAGAGUAUCGACCCUCUCAGUGUCGUAGCUAACGCGUUAAGUAUCCCGCCUGGGGAGUACGCGCGCAAGCGUGAAACUCGAAGGAAUUGACGGGGGCCCGCACAAGCGGUGGAGUAUGUGGUUUAAUUCGAUGCAACGCGAAGAACCUUACCAGGGCUUGACAUGUCCGGAACCCUGCCCAAAGGCGGGGGUGCCUACGGGAACCGGAACACAGGUGGUGC
This 250-nucleotide ribosomal RNA is filed under the name uncultured Chroococcidiopsis sp. RNAcentral's name for it is "partial 16S ribosomal RNA". It matches the Rfam family "Bacterial small subunit ribosomal RNA", at positions 796 to 1044 of the family's 1533-position model. Lineage: Bacteria; Bacillati; Cyanobacteriota; Cyanophyceae; Chroococcidiopsidales; Chroococcidiopsidaceae. The record is from RNAcentral.